Molecule: non-coding RNA, 14933 nt
Organism: Anas platyrhynchos (mallard)
Lineage: Eukaryota; Metazoa; Chordata; Aves; Anseriformes; Anatidae
Source: RefSeq, a predicted model, not a curated record
UCCUUGUGUGCUUGAUGUGCCAAAUGUUUUAUUUAAAGUUCUACAGGCUGUAACCAUAUAGGUUAGUUAUAUAUAGGCUGUAACCUUAUAUACUUAGUUGAUGAAAAUGAUCUCUUGCUUGCUGAAAUGCCUUCAGUUCGGGAAGGCUAAACCUGCCCUAGAGCUGUUGAUGCAGUUGUGCCAUAGUCUGUUGGAACGAUUUGUGCCAAACUUCUUGAUCAGGCUUCUGUGAGAGAAGUGUUUUUAAAACUACUGCCAGUAUUGGCCAAGUUUUUGGAUAUAUACAGCAGCCUAGAGCUCAGGGUAGGGUGGAGAGGAGCAUAAAGUCUCACCUCUCAUGUUGGACAUGGUUUGGGAGCUGUCACUGCAGUGGCUCUUCACAACUGAGGCUUGAGAGAUGUAUUUAUUUUUUUUACAGCAAGCCUGACAAACCAGGAACAGAAACGCUCGGCUUUUAGACUCCUUGAGCAUAAAAUAAACAAUGUGCUGUGAGUCACAGCACUGCCACUGCAUAACUGAGGGCAGCUUGCAAUUUUCUUUCUUCUUUUUUAGAAACGGACUAGUCAAAAGAUUGGUAUUGUUGAAUUUUGCUGUGCCUUCCAGGACAGAACAGCUGAUUUUCUGCCUGAUUAACCUACCACUUCGUGUUUCCUGAAGCCUUGAUCCAGUCUAUUUACAUAUAUUUGCCCCUCUCCGAGCAGGCAGCUCUGCAGCUGUGCUGGAAAGGAAAGGUGUGUUAGAUGACACUGUGCUAGAUAAGCAACCAAACCCAGUGAGAUCUCCCCACCUAGGCAGGUCACACUGGCUCGGGUUCAGGGCAGUGAAAUCCACUCUGAAGUGUACGAGGUGAUUAAUUAGAUGCUUUAGGUGGAUGUCUCGAGUUUUUGGAUUAAAGUUUGCAUCAAAGCCGAGCUAAGCUAACAAUACAAAUUCUCCACAGCAUCGUUAAUCAUCUUUAACUAUCCAGGCUAUGAUUGCAGAAUAGUUGCGUUGCUUUAUUGGAAAUAUAAAAUAUUUCCUGUGUGAAUAUAAACAAUUUACAUAACAGUGACAUUUUCCUUGUCAUUUAACUCCAGCGCUGUGAAACUGAAGGCAUUUAAUUAAUCUUGUUAACUUUGCAUGGUGAUUUACUAAUGAACUGCUUCAAUUAUUUAUCUUUUUUUUUCCUCCAAGGAGUGCUUAAGUUCAGGAAGCACAAAAUAACCUAACCUGAAGCCAGUAAAGCUGCAGUGCAAUCACUUUGCUCCAAGAGACUUCCAGCUGCUUAAAGCUGGCACUGCAUCUCCCCUGCCCCUGUUGGGAAGGGUACAGGGCAUAACCUAGGGUGUGGAGGUCCUGCGUUUGGGGCCUUGUGUUUUGGGACAGUUGUGCUUCUCUAAUUUCUGGUGGAGAUGUGCAAUAAAAGCAUGGUUUCGUUGUCCUGGUGAGACAAAGUGAGAAGAGAGGGGUGGCACCAACUAAAACCCAGCGCUGUCACCUCAGCGGUGCCCCACGGAAAAUUAACUUUGUGUGGGGGGAGCAGGGAGGACAAGGAUGUGAUGUGAGUUGCUUUAAUCUAAAAUAACUACCAAAAUUACUUAAUUCUCCUCGUGGCCUUUUUAAGCACUGGUGGUAGCAAUUAGUGGGCGGGAGAACAUGCUGAGAGUUGGGCUGUGUUUCUCCUUUCUGCAGAAGGUUUUUUCUUCGCUGCAAAUGCCAACCAAACUAAAAUGUGGAGGAAAUGGAGGUGCAGUCUCUUAUUUUUAAACUGGAGUACAGACAGUCCAAAUCCAUAGUAACUUUUUUUGGAUCUUGGAAACACUUCUGUUUGUACCAGCGAGAGACACCAACACCAAGCCUAAGGCUAUUGUUGAACCUAGAAGUUAAUGUGUUAGACUUCAUCCAUCUUAGAAUUUGGCAUUUAAUGCUUUGGGCCUUUUUUUUUUUUUUUUUUUUUUUUUCAGCAAGUAGUACAGAAACCUUUGCCUGUUCUCCAGCAUCUUUGUGCAGAAAUUGGAAAAUGCUUCUAUUUUUUCGAUUAGUCUUCUGAUAUGAGACUUCUUCCUGACAGUCAUGUAAGGAGGUCUUCAGUACAGAAAAGGAACAGUGUACUUUCUCCAUGCUUAUAGGAUCUCUCGUCUUCUAGUUUUGAAUGUGCAUUGCACUCAUUUCUGUGCCUGUCCCCUUCCUGUCUGUGACUGUCUUAGUAAAUCCCUCCUGUGAGGACAGUUUAUGCAUACGCCAAGGAGCAAUUUGCCAGACCAACAAAUAAUUUGCAUCUACGUGUGCUGUGAGAAUCUGAGUGCAUAUGGGAGUCUUGGAGUGGGUAACUUUAACUUGUGGUUCAGCUGUGAUAUGUUGCUUCACUUUUACCUCCUACCAGCAGCAAGAGUUGUUGCUCUUAGCCCAAUUUUUUCCAACCCUAACCUUACUGUUAGCUUGGCUUGUUAACUAAUUCAGCAGGAAAAAAACCUUUUGGGAAGGAGGAGUUACUUUUAGGAAAACAAGUAAUUAUUUCUGGUGGGGUCUGGCAAGUAGCAGUGCCCAAGGCAGGGGCAGGAUUGCCCCCAUGGGCUGCAAGGAGUGGCUGGAGUCUGGUCUGUCCCCCUCACAAGGGGAGAAGGUGCUUGGCUCAGAGUCGUGUGUCCCUUCAGCCUUGUUUAUUGAGAUUUUAACCUCACUCAUAUUGUACUUGAAAAAUCUCAUAGCGGUAUUACUUUAUAGUUGUCUCAAGCAAGCAUGUGUAAUUUACAUGGGCAAAAAAUGUAAGAGGACUCUGCUUGAAAUGACAAUUUUCUAUGAAGUUGCCAUGCAUUACCAUGUGCUUCAUGAGAGGUAACUAGCUUACUGAAAGCUUUCUCGAUUGCUGUCCAACACAACAUUUUAAGAGGUAUUUUUGAGACUCUCUUAAAUCUCUUCUCUCUGCCACUCCAACAGAAGACAUGCUUCAAAUUCAAGAGACUUCUCUCCCGAGAGAGCUGUUUGUAGCUAGCCUUUUCUUAGGCAGUCUUUGUACUAAACUACAUCUAGUCAGUACAAGUCACAUCCGAUCAGCAGCACUACCUGUGGUAUAAGGUAAAGGGAUGAAUGAUUCCGGUCAAGCCCUUCCCAGCUGCAUCUGGUUUUAAUAACAGGAGGCCCAGUGCCUCCUGCUUAGUUUAUGCUGGCUCUAGUAUUUGUCUGAUCAUCCAGUAAAUCAAUUCAGCUUGCUAAAAGACCAGAAACUAAUCUGGCAAAAAGUCUGGGUUUGCCUUUUUUUUUUUUUCCUUCUCACUUUUCCUGGGAUCAUAGAUGGGACCAGCUUGCCUUCUUAUGAAAUGGGGUUAGUGGAGAGGGGGGCAGGGGAAGUGAGGCUGCUCCCACUUGCCAAGUGGCAAGCUGUGUAAUUCAGCUCAGCCAUGAAGCAAAAGGCUGCAAAACCACAGCCUAAGCUGAUCUAACUGCUGGCUGCUGCUCAGGUCAGUCUCCGCUAACCGAGCUCAACAAAAGGCACGUCAAAUGCCAGGGGGUAGGAGUGCUGGAUCCAGCGCUCAUGCUGGCUUAGACGGCUGUGGAGCUACAGCCAGAGCAGUGGAUGAACAAAAUGAACUCUGUAGCACUGUGCUGUAUGGUAAAGUCUUCUGAGUUUGUCGUUCUGAUGAUGAUGAAUUGGUCUGACGAUGAGCAUUUUCAAUUUCUUACUCUCUUAGGCUUCCAUACGUCAGAUCUGAUACUUGGCAAUACUUAAGGUGCUAGUGUGCUUUCAACACCAGAUUUCAGGCUGUGCAUGAGUUAUGAUGCAUCUGCUUUGUGCAAGUGUUCUAGCUCUUCCUUUUUUAGUGACAGCAAGCCCUACUUUGGGCCUGAGGAAUCUUCAGAGCUGAAGUAACUCUGAAUAAGUCUUGUGCAUUGAAUACUUCUAAACUAUUCAGGACCAGGGUGCUGGUUUUUGUUGUUGUUGUUUUGUUUUGUUUGUUUGUUUCUGCUAACUUUUCUACUGUUCUUAUAAGAGCUAUAUGAAUCAUGACUGUCUAACUUUAUAAUAUUUUGUAUCCUGGAUAUUCUCUGAUAUCUUAAAUAAAUAAUACUGUUGUCUGAAGGUAUCCAGAAAGAAUUGUGACUGCAUGCAUAUGCAGAUAUUCUUAGGAGGUGUAAUACUCCCCAGUAUUCUUGGGACAUGGACAAGCUACCUCAGCUCAUUUUGAUGAUAUAUUGUAAAGACUUUAUCAUUGUGAUUGCUUUCCAUGCUUCCUACCCCUUUCAGCAUUUUCCACACAAUGCUAUUGUAAGAGCUAUCUGCUGCUGCACACCCUGACUGUGCUUAGCAGUGAACCUGAGUGAGGUUUUUGAACCAGGAAUUUUGAUGCUUGGCUCCAACAUACUUAUAGAAAGCACUGGCCAAUACCUGAACUUUAGUUUUGUCUCUGUAGAUCAUGUUUCAUACAUGGAUUCAAAUCUUGGUGCUAGCUAUGGUUUGUUCAUGUAAGCUGUCACUAGUUCCUUGCUUUCCUAUGGCUGAAGAAACUUGAAGUGUAAUGGUUAGUAACUGCUUUGCUAAAUGAACCAAACAUAUCUGAAAUCUAGGUGACACCAAGUAUGUCUGGUUGUGUUGGUAAAGUGCAAAUGUAACAUUGGUAGUGAGGUAGCUACUUUUUAUAUGUGUGACAAAAAAACCUGUAAAUACCUUACCAAAAGUGGAGAAUAGUGUAUUCAAAUACAACCUUGUAAUUUCAGCAGACUUAAAAUGUAAUCAGCUGUCUUGGCAGAUGGCCAAGGACACAGAAGGCUCCUGGAAGACUUCCAGGUGCUAAUAGUGUAUUUUGAUUAAAUUUAACUAUGGACACUGAGUCUGGGUCUUCAUAUUUCUGUAUGUGUUAAAAUGAAUGUUCUAAAUAUUAGUAUUUCAUUUAAAAAUCUGUUUUAAUACUCAAAAGAUCAGGUAUCUGGUAUCCUCAUGACAUAGUUCUUCCCUAUGUCAAGCACAAUAAGGGCUGAAACAUCAGUGUUACGUGAGUAUGUAGUCCACCGCGUUACAUUUCCUAGGGUUCCAUAUACACACACACACACACAAAAAAAACAACUAGGCAUUUCAAAAGCUUUACAAUAUUUGUCAGCAGCCUCAGAUCCUCCCAAGAAACAUUGCUGCAUUUGUUCUGAAGUCUGUUUUAUUGCUGGUGUAAUGAGCUAUUAAACAAAAAAAUCCACCAUAGCAGAAUUGUGGUGUGGUGGAUGGGGCCUUUGACAAGGCUUCAGGCUUGUAGGUUGGCCCCAGGCCUGCUGGAUCAGUUAUCUGCCUGUCCAUUUUUCUAUUGGUGAAAAGGUUGUAAAUCACAGAAUCAUUUAGGUUGGAAAAGACCUCCAAGAUCAUCAAGUCCAACCAUUAACCUAGCACGGCCAGGUCUACCACAAAGCCAUGUCCCUAAGCACCACAUUACACAUCUGAAUACCUCCGGGGAUGGUGACUCAACCACUGCACAGUGUGCUCCAAUGCUGCACAACCCGUUCAGUGAAGAAAUCUUUGCUAAUAUCCAAACUGAACCUCUCAUUGAGGCCAUUUCUUCCUGUAUCUAUUCUUGCUUGGGAGAAGAGACCUGCUGCAACCUCCUUUAUGGUAACUGUAAAGUACAAGGAGGUCUCCCCUGAGCCUCCUCUUCUCCAGACCAAACACCCCCAGCUCCCUCAGCCGCUCCUCACAGGACUUGUGCUCCAAGCCCCUCACCAGCUUCGUAGCCCUUCUCUGGACACGCUUCAGGGCCUUGAUGUCCUUCUUGUAGUGAGGGGCCCAAAGGUGAACACAGUACUCAAGGUGUGGCCCCACUCUGCUGAGUACAGAGCAACAAUCACCUCCCUGGUCCAAAGCAAUGGAAUGACAGGGCAAGCCUUCAUGCUUCUGGAUGUGUCAGUGUAGAGAACACAUUAAAGUGAGGUGGCAGAAUGAGGUGGUUCUUUUCAUUUAAUUUAGAAAAAUUUGAAAAUUUCUCACAUUUCAGACCCUGAAGAAUAAAUAUGUAAGAUUUGGUAGGCUGCUGUCAAAGAUGAAGGUAGCUGUAAAAGUGCAUUCCUGUUAAAAUGUUCACAAAUGUAUCUCUCUUUGAUGCUGUACCUAGCUUGGGAGAAGGGGGGGAAGUAGAUUACUGUAAUAUUUGCAGGAGUGCUGGUGUGAUCAUGAGAGCAGGUGACUGGAUGUGGGAUUAGUUCAGCUCUUCUGUGUAGAAGUGUAUUAGGAGGUGCUUGCAUUAAGGGAUUGUCACGGUCAAGAAGUCAGUCUAACUGAAUUCAGGAGCAAGAAAAGUGAAAUAAUGCUUUCCCUGGAAAAUAUUCUGGACAACUGAUGCAAACUGUAACUGCGUAAAUGUUUACCAAGUGAAUGGGUGUGCAUCAGUAAACUUAUCGUAAAGACAAGUAUUUAAGGAGCCUUCAGAUAAAGUGUCUUCAAAAGAAAUAAAGGCUGCCUAACUGAAUGAGUGGAGAAGUCAUUUAGGUUCUUAAUCCUCGCUUGGUUGUUUUUUGUUCCCAGUUACUUGAAUAUAAUUGCAUUGUCACUGCAGUUAUGUCACUGUAUUGUCUAGAGACGUUUCUAACAUCAUUGAACUGCCCUUGUCAUUCCAUCAGUCUUAAGUUCUGCAAUAAAAUUUGCAGUGUCUCAGAGCACCAUUAGAUAUGCUACGAUAUCUUAUUGUAGAGGUCUGAUCUUUAAAUCAUGAUUUCUUUUAUUCAUUAAAAAGGCCUGAUUCAUUAUUGCAUUUUUCUUUUGAUUCUUGCGCUGGUUAGUAAAAUUAAUUUUCUAGUUAGCUUGCAAAUAAUGUUGUAGUUGAUUAGGCAGGUGUUUGUGUAGCCAGGCUUCUCAGCUCAUGCUAAGCUUCACCGUGUAUCUGAUAAGACCGCAGCAAUAUUUAGCACAUCUUUAAACAAGACUCCUAUGUCUUUGCUCAGCAUUUUUGAUGUUGAAGAGAUGAAUCAAGGCUGUAUAAUGACGGGAGGCUAUUGUGUGCAAAACAGCAUCCUGGCUGUUAAAGAAAUGGGAAUGUAUAUUGUGCAGAGGGGUUAGAAAAAUUAUCUGGAGGCUAAAGCUAAGGGAGGUAAAACGAAGGAGCUUCAUUCUAUCCAUCACUGAAAAACAUACUGCUAAGUGACUACGUUUUGCUGAUGUGCUGGGCAUGAUGUAUAUGUUCAUUUCAGUAUGUUUUAAAGACUAAAGAAAUAUUGAGUACUUGGAUGCCAAGCAUGCAUUUUGUUUGUAUGUUAAAUGUGCCAAGUAUUAAAAAUCUUAUUUUAAACACUUUUUUUUUUUUUUUUUGAGGGAAGACUGAAAAAUCAUGUUUGCUUUGAGUAUUUGCAAAUCUUUUGUGCGCUGUGGGUAAAGCAGUGCCCUGCCUUUAAACUCUGAAUCUCUAAGAAACUGUUCUGAAAUGUGCUAUCCAUAUAGUAAGUAUUCUAGGAACUGAUGAGAAAAUUAAUUCUAUCACUAUUGCAAGUAUAGAGCUUGCUCCGUGGCAUUACAUAUUCAUACCUGUUUUGUUUAAGAACUGAUGCACAGUCUUUAACAAUUAUUCAAUACACGUUUUUUGGAUUGAAUGUAAAUUCAUAGUUUUCCUUCCUCCUGUAGAGGCCUCAAUACAAAAAGUGACAGUAACUUGUUGCUCCAAGGUGGUUGCAUGAAAUACAUGAAGAAAUACCUGAUACAAGGUGGGAAGAACAGUUGUUCCUGUACAUAGCUGCUGUGUAAUUUUUAGAGGGGAAUUUGUCCUAUGUGUCAGCACAGGACCCAUCUCCUUAAAACUAAUGUUUCUCAGGAGUUAAAAUACAUGUUUUAUUUUUGGUAAAGUUUUUAUUUUGAUUAAGUGCACCACCUUUAUCCACUACAUUCAGUUCCUGUUGUGCACAUCCAGUCAUUCAGUGCAAGCAUCUGACCAAACCAAAAAAGUUAGGUAACUUGCAUAUCCUCAGCUUAAGUUGUAAGUAAACAAGAUGAGGCUGUUUUAAAUUACUGAUUUAUGUAACUCUUUCAAUCUUAUCAAGUAAUCUAUUUUUAGUGUUCUUAGCAAAAGUUCCUGAGGUGCAUGAGGGCCUCAACUGCAAAAUUGUGUAUAGGGAGCACUCCAUAUUAAAGGAUCAGGUUAAAGAUGAGCAGUUACUAAUUCCUGUAGGAAAUGCUUCAGUUCAAAAUCUGUAUAAAUAUGAUCUUCAGAGUUAAAUACGGCAAAUGUCUGUUGGAAAUGAUCUUAGUCUGCUCCCCCCAGACUUCUCAAAUGUUUAAGCCAGGAUCCUGACUGAAUUGACUUUUUUUUUUUUUUUAAUAAGACCAAUUACCUGCUGUUGUACAACGCUGAGUCUUCUCUGUUUGAGGCUUGGCUAAUGAAUGCAUGGCUGCAAAAUAAAGAACAGUGCUGCCCUUUUGGGAUGUGUGGCACUGAUCAAUGGUAAGAAUGACAUUAAGAGCCAGACUAAUCUUGGAAGGAAAAUGAGAUUCUCAUGGUGGCAGAGAGCCGAUCUGGGUCCUGGGAACUGCAGUGUGCUGGGCACGGUGGUUAAUGUAAGCAGCUCACCUAAGCUUGAGGUGCUGUGCACUGACAGCUUCUAGUGCAAGCUGUGGGUUUAGCACGAGCUCAGAUGUCUGCAUGCUGUGUUGCAGCCUGCGGGGCUUUUUUGUUUCCUGUGGUAUUGUAUAUGUGUUGUUUUUUGUGUUUCUAACUAGUGUUCAGACACAGCAGUUCUCAGAAAGGGUGAUGGAGGUAUUUUUCAUGUCUCCGUUUCAGAAGGUGGGAGAGAACGGCUCUGUUCACCUGCUUCUUCACUGCAUUUCUCAGAAAUCUUUAAUUGUCCUUUAAAGCUCUUCUGGCUAUGCAGGAACUCUUCCAGAAGGCAGAAAACAAGCAAGAGCUUGACUGCAGCCUCCCCACCCCCAAGCCACAUACUUUCUAUCUGUUAAACUCUGUACCAGAGGACAGAUCCUCAAUGACUUUGCUCUUGUCCAGGCUCUGCUUCUGCUGGGGAGCCAGGCAUUGGCAAGUGGCAUCUUUAAUGAAAAUGAGUGGUUUGAUUGCUUGCCUGGGGAGCAACCUAUGGGAUUAAUGUAGAACCUGAUCUGUUCCUCUUUGUUGCACAUUGGAGUGCAGCACCCUGUGCUUCUGAACUGCUAACCUACCUGUAUGCUCUUCCAGGUGAAUCCCUUCACUUUCCUGCAAAGUGAUUCACUCCAUCUCCCCUUGUCCCUAAACUCCUGUACUGCUAUAGACCCAAGGCAUGAAAUGAAAACAGAUGGUGGUGCUGCUAUAGCUUAUCCCACAAAUGUAAUGUACCAGUAUGUGAUAAGACAUGUAGAUAGCCCAUCUGUAAGCAACAUAAAUGUGAGAUAUGUGGGUAAUGUUAAUGAUUGCAACUAAUCACGUCUGUGAGCAUAAAUGUACGGUUUUUACAUGUCAUCUCAUUUGAAAAUGUGUUUCCCAGAUUAAUCUUGUUUCUGUAUGAGCUCUUCUGAAGCCUUCUGUACCCGGAGUUACUGGUGCAGUGUGGCUGGUGUAAAGGCACUCUGCUGAGAGUAGUUCACAAGUAGCAAGCUGCUGCUGUGCAGUUGUUUUGUGGUAGUAGUCUGGGUUUUAUAACAAAAUACGGUGAGCUUGUUUGUGAAUGAGUUUGUGCAGUUUGUCAAAAAAUCUGCAUGGACUCUGUCUACAAAAGUACAUCAAUCUCUGAAUGGAUUGACUUCCAGUGAACUGCUGCACUGGCUAGAUGAUGAAGCUUGGGGCUGUGUGUGAUUAUUUUUUUUAAUUAAAAUAUAAACUACUUAUGUAGAAACAGGGUUUAUUGCAGUGAGAGGAGGAGCUGGCCAACAAAUAAAGUUCAGCUACCACUUAAAUCGCUGCCAGAUAUUAUUUUUUUUGAGAGAAACAGACGUAAAUCUAACUUUAUCAAGCCCAUGCUUCUGUCUCUGGAUAUUUUAACCCCUUUUUUUUUAAAGGGGCUGAAUCAUAUAAUUUAAGGAUCAGUGGAAGUGUCUGCUUGUGUUACAGCAGUAUUGUGGACUAGUUGUGCUUACUCUAAACUUGUCAUCAUAUAGAAAGGCUCAAAUAAAUGCUAGGUGAGAGUAGACUACUUUGAUUUUUUUUUUUAUAGGAAAAUUUAAGCAUUUCUAAUGUGUACAAUCAAAUACAAUAUCAAAUACAAUCCCAAAGUCUAUCUCAUUCAAAAAGAUGCUACUAAAAAAUGGAGGUGAAAAAACGCAAACCACUUUAUGAAGAAAAUAACUAGACAACUCAUAAGACCUAGAUCUCUCAGUGUGACAAGGAGACAGAUACAGGACAUGAAGAUUUUAUCAAAGCUGACCAUAACCAUUCAGAAGUGAGAUCUUGGUGUUAUGCCACCAUGCGAUGGGAAUCCAACACGCAAUUGUUGUGAAUUACUAGAAGAGGAACAAAGAGGAAACCAGACAAGGUUGCCAUGGCACUGUGUAAAUCCAGCUUGCAGUGACAUCCUGAAUGCUACAAUCCUCUCCUCGUGCCAAGAAAUACAGUAGAGCUGAAAGCUCAGAUGAUGGCAACAGCAAUGGUCAAAAACUUGGAACAGCUCUGAAGAAAAAAAAAAACUCCUUAAUGAGUCAAGACUCUUGUGUGGAAAAAGAUGACUGAUGAAUAUGUAAUAAGUCUUAAAAAUCAAGAGUUAAGCUGAGGAUUGGGUAAGAAGCAACUUUUGACUUUUGCCAUGCAAGAUAUGGGAGCCAGGUUCAAGUUGCAAGCAAGUUGUGGUUCUUGCAGCAAGGUGUCAAACUCGUUGCUAAAGGGUAUUGUGGGUGCUAAAACUUUACGUGGGUUAUAGUGGAUGAAUUUUUAUUAAAUUAACCCAUUGAGUCUUGCUAAAUAGAAACUACAUUCUGUGCUAUGUGGAAGCCAGGGAAAAUUGCAUGUGUGUUCACUUCUUACACUGUUCCCCAAGGUAUUUAUUUAUAGGUGCUGUCACACAGAAGGCUGGGCUGGGUGGGCUUUCAGUUUUAAGCAUCUGCUCAUGUUGUGCUGUUGUUGCACUGUGACCUUGUGCUAUAUCUCAGACAGGGCUGCUAGGGACACCUGGGGGUCAUGUCUUUGAAAGUCCAGCGUGUUAAGGUUGUUAUUUUGAUGGGUUUGCUUCACAUUAAAAGGUGCUCACAGAAGAAUUUUUAUGGAAUUUUCUACCUUUACAUUACGUAUCUCAAGUUUGUCUAAAAUUUAUCUGUUAAAUAUGAUGCUAUUCCUAUGAAGAGUUGCAAAUUUGAGGUUUUAGAUAAUAUAAGCUAUCUUUAAUCUUUGAUCACAAAUCACUGUGAUAUACUAUAGGCUUCAUUGCUGUCUACAUUGCAAGAAGAGCACUGAAUUUUAAACUGUCAAGGUGAUGGACAUCUGCUUUGUCAGUGGCAAGUUAUUGCUACUCUAGUUCAUAAUUUAUGUAUAUUUUCUGUAUUAUUUCUUAAACUUUUUUAGCACAGUAGAAAUUUAAUUGAAUUCUUAUGAUCUUGCUGUAGUGAAUUUGAAACUUAAAACACUAGUACUGUGUGGGGUGUUUUUGGUUUUGUUUUUCUUGCUCUGACGGCUUGCUGGCAAAUUCUCUGAAGUUUGGUUAUGUGUUUCAUAUUUGUUACUAAAAUAGUCUAAAUAAAAAUGUUUCUGAUCAGAUGUUGCAAUGUGUAGUUACUCGAAUGAGCUCACGCAGAGGGUGCUGCUCUGAUAUAACUUAACGUUCCCUUCAUUGGUUUAACCUGGGAGACUUCAAUCAAUUUUAUGUUAGAUACUGUACAAAAGGUUCAUAAGGGUUGGUAAGGGAGGCAACUGAUAAUCACGACCCGUGUUCAGUUCUCGCUUUACCAUCUAAUCUUCAUGCUUAAAGUUGCCCACCUAGAUAAUCGAAAUGCUGAACCUUACUUUCCCUUGUAAAAGAAUGGGUAGAGGGAAAGCUCUGCUGAGCAGUUUAUUGUAGGAAGUAAAUCUUGCCCUUGUCCUCAAUGCACCACCUCAGCUAAAAUUAAAGAUUGCUUCCUCGAUUCAAGUAAUAGCAGCAGCAGCUAGGUUAAUAGCUUUUUUCAAACACAGGAAUUUUACGGUCAAGUUUCAAGCCUUUACCUCAAGUGCUGCAUCAUCCAGCAGUGACUGAGUGCUUGUUUUUAUGGACCACUGGCCUCCAUCAGCGUCUGUGUAUUUCUGGUGCUGUGUUAGUUCCCUCUUACUUCUUUCUGAAAUGGUGACUAAAAUCUAGUCUUGCAUGGAAUAAUACCACCAUCAUUGGCUUUGUGUUAGGAGAUGGCUGAGAACGAGCUGCUAUUUUAUUUUUUUUUUCCUAAAACUUUUAGCUGAGGAGAUGAAUAAAGUACAAAGUUAUGAGAUGUGACCUUUUAUCAAAGUCCAAAGCUGCCGCUUGUUCCAUUUGAGACUUAAUGGAAAAAAUGUAAGGCUGAAGGGAAAUAAAGGAAUUACAGCGAAUGGUCAGAGAUGGACACUGUGUAAUCUCUUUACAGUAUCUAACAAAAACAAUAAAACUGCUUUGAUGCUUUGCUUGGGCUUUAACAGGAUCUGGGCAGAGUUACUAAUCUGAUUUUUGUGACAUAAACAUCAAAGCAUUAAACGAAAAUAACGAUUACUUCUGAGUAAUGUGUAAUAUGUGCAGUUAAAGGCUUCCUGGUUAGCGUGCUCGUAUUAUUUAUAGGAAAGUUUUUAUUAUAAAGUAUUUUAAUAAUUAAAGUAGAAUUUCUUAUGACAGCAUAAAGGUUACAUGGUUUAUAUUCAGCAUAACGUUUUCUGGUGGACUUGAGGCAUCCAGAUAGAUUGUGACCAGAUUCUGUUGCCCUCUGUGCCAUAAAGCACAUCUUACAUGCUCUGUGAGACUUCGUCCUUAAAGUUGCUCAGGUAAAUUGAGCUGAUGGGAAAAGAUGACUUGAAAAACAUUAAAGAUGUACUUUCCAAUAGAAAAGCUCUUAAACCUCUCUACUGUUUCCGUAUGCGGUACUAGUAAUAAAUAACCUUCCAUGUAAGUCAGUCACCAGUUGCUAUGCUUGGGAGAGGAUGGAAAUACACCUGGUUUUCUUGUGUGUGCUAACUUCUCCCUCUUUCUGUGUUUCUUAGGGCAGUGAAUAUUUGACCUUGUUUCACUUUAAGGGGUUGUUAAGCAUCUGUAACACCUUUAAAAAGAAGAUAGCAUUUGUUGCACGGCUUAACUCAAUUAUUCUUGAAUUAAGACUGUAAUGGUCAGUCUCAAAAACUGAGAGACCUGUGUAUCACCGAGUCUGAUGGAGGAAAACCUUUCCUGGGAGAUGGGGCAGCUAACUCUCAUCUUCUGAGUUGCUUUUGAGGAUGCACGGUGAAGCCAGUGGUGGCAGGAGUUGGCUGUGCAGUAACACUGGAAGGGAAGCCAGGCUGUCUUCACCCUUGGGUGCCAGUAGGUGCGGGACAGCAGGCUGAAACCAGUAAGCACUGAUACCCCAACCUACCCUCCUACCCGUAUUUGUCUUUUGCUCUAAUAUGGAAUACCUCUUACCCUUUUCUUUAUUAACCUCUGAUUGUUUCUUAAGUUUUAAAAGUCAUCAGACAGUGGUAUUCUAAUAAAAUGUCUUAAUGUUGUUCUUAAGCUUCUCUUAAGGCUAGGAGGAAUGUGUUGGGACUUUCCGCACACAGAAGUAUAUUUAGACUUCAAAGUUGAUGUUUGUGUCAUGGAAGUAAUCUGCAAACUGAUAGGCAGAAUACCUCCGUACUGCAACAUCCACUGCAUGGGAGCGCACAAGUGAUUUCAGGCUGGAUUGUACUUAAAAGGGAUCACAGAAGUUGAUUUAACUCCUUAUGAUAGCAGAAAACUGUCCUGUUCCUCCUUCCCCUUUGCAAGUUGCAGGGAGCAGGCUUGUGUGGGAGGGAGCAAGAUCGUCCCCUUUGGGCACUCUUUGAGCUAUUAUAUAGGCUCCAUAAAACGCAAUGAGCCAUGCUCUUCAAAUCCACGUGGAUUUUAAGGAAUUUAGCACCUUCUGAAGUCUGAACUUAAACUGUUGCUAAAAUUCAGAAACAGACACCCAUCUUUAAAGUAAAGAUAGGAACGUUUCCCUGCAUGUUUUGCAGCCUAAACACAGCAGCAAUCACUGUAAGUGACCCCCAGAAAGAAAAACACUUACGCUUUGCUGAGACAGAAGAACAAAAUCUACAAAAAUAAAAAUGUAAGAGCUUGGUAAUGCCUGGGAACUUUUAAUUCUUAACAUUUCUAUUAACUUAUAAUGUUAGAUAAAUUUUCUCCCUAAAACUCACUUUUGCCUUCAGCCUCCUAGAAAUCCAACUCUUGUGGUGGAGAUGGGAAAUUGCUGCUAAUGGGAGUUUAGGUGUCAAAACAGUAUCAGUAGGGUUUUUUCAGUAGUAUUUUGAGUUGAGUGGUGAAAUGAUGGGUCCUUCCACAGCCCAUGUAUAUGCUUGAAUGCAAGCUACCACAAAGUUGCGAAGGCACUGUGCCCUCAUCCUAAUAAAUGGUACGUGCUGUUUUAUUCCAGUACAGCCCUGUAAAGUAAUGCAAGCAGAGUGUUUUGGGGAGCAGGAAGGGGAUGGCUGCCUUAUCCCCUUCUGUUGGAACUGGGAACAGCACGGUUUCAAGAUUCUAAUGCAGCAAGCAAACUGAAGUGUGAAGAAAAUAACAGCACUUAAAAAAACAGUGCUUUCCAGUGGUGUGUUCCAGUAAGGACAAUGUAAUGCCUACCUGUGUGAGCCAGAUUGCUUAGCCCAUUUUUAAUGAAAAAUUGUACUGCCGGUAGAAAGAGUUGAAGAGAAAAUGUAUAAAUAAAUAAAUUUACUCUUGGUUACUAGCAUUAACCUCUUACUGUCCCCAUCACUUGGAUGUUGGAUACGGAUGCCAUUUUUAUAUUGAAAAGAAACUAAAUGCUCAUCAAUUGUAUUUGAUUGGCUCUAGUGAAUAACUGGAUUAAAUCAAGCAAUUUAGAUUGUAUAUAGUGAUUUAAUCACAAUAAAGCUCUGGUUCAGCUCCCUCUG